Molecule: transfer RNA, 75 nt
Filed under: Xylanimonas cellulosilytica DSM 15894
Lineage: Bacteria; Bacillati; Actinomycetota; Actinomycetes; Micrococcales; Promicromonosporaceae
Description: tRNA-Tyr
Source: RNAcentral
GUGAGAGUACCAGUGAGUUCUGACUGUAAAUCAGACGCGAAAGCUUCGGGGGUUCGAAUCCCUCACCUGGCACCA